This 384-nucleotide ribosomal RNA is filed under the name Agrobacterium sp. RNAcentral's name for it is "bacterial SSU rRNA". It matches the Rfam family "Bacterial small subunit ribosomal RNA", at positions 94 to 513 of the family's 1533-position model. The record is from RNAcentral. Lineage: Bacteria; Pseudomonadati; Pseudomonadota; Alphaproteobacteria; Hyphomicrobiales; Rhizobiaceae.
AGCGGCAGACGGGUGAGUAACGCGUGGGAAUCUACCGUGCCCUACGGAAUAGCUCCGGGAAACUGGAAUUAAUACCGUAUACGCCCUACGGGGGAAAGAUUUAUCGGGGUAUGAUGAGCCCGCGUUGGAUUAGCUAGUUGGUGGGGUAAAGGCCUACCAAGGCGACGAUCCAUAGCUGGUCUGAGAGGAUGAUCAGCCACAUUGGGACUGAGACACGGCCCAAACUCCUACGGGAGGCAGCAGUGGGGAAUAUUGGACAAUGGGCGCAAGCCUGAUCCAGCCAUGCCGCGUGAGUGAUGAAGGUCUUAGGAUUGUAAAGCUCUUUCACCGGAGAAGAUAAUGACGGUAUCCGGAGAAGAAGCCCCGGCUAACUUCGUGCCAGCA